UUUUAAGUCCAAUGUAUAAUAAUAUGAACGACAUAAUUGUGUGUUGCUUAUUUUAUAUUGUAUUCUUGUUUUUCUAAUUAAAGAUAAAGAAAAUAUAUAUAAUCACGUGGUAAAAAGUCACUUAUUUGUUAAAAAGAAAUAAAAAUACAAAGUAGUGCAAGAUGAAGUAACAUAAAAUAUAUGUGUGUGUCAAUAAAGCGUGAUAUAAAUUUGAAGAUAUUCGAAGAACAUAAUUAAAGAAAAAAGAAGGAUCGCUGUAUGUUGUUAAUAGAUCUUCAUAAUAUUGAGCAUUAUUCAUUCAAUGGAAUAGUGAGAUCUUUUUUAAUAAUCAUCUUUAGGCAAAAAAGAAAAGACAGAACAAGGAUAGAACAAUGAUAAGGUUAUAUCAGUGUACGUUUUAUCAAAUUUGACAUAAAUUCAGCGUAUUAAUAAUACGAAAAUUAUAAUUGGAACGAAAUAAAUUGAAAGAAGAAAAUCAAGCGCGACGAAAUUAUUGAAGACUAUAUUUUAAUCGGUAUGCCGUGGAGUCAUAAAAAUGUGAUAUUCGCGAGAAUUGGUUCCGCCCUAUUUUAUGGGUUGUCUUCAUUUAUGAUCACAGUUGUAAAUAAGACUGUGUUAACGUCAUUUGAAUUUCCUUCGUUUCAAUUGCUUGGCAUAGGACAAAUGGUGGCUACUAUCGUAUUACUUUUCACAGCAAAAAAGUUGCGUUACAUUGAAUUUCCUAACCUAGAACGAGCAACGUGUAUCAAGAUAUGGCCAUUGCCCAUCAUUUACAUUGUUUCAGGCUGGCUAGUUCGAAGAUUUUACAACAGCGAUGUCUCAUCAUUCACGAUGGAUUACGCGAAACAUCGUAUAUCUCUGUCAACGGUACAACGCGCGAUUUUGACGGUUGGUGCUGCUGCGAUAUCACUUCUCAAUCCUUAUCGAGGUGACAUGAUCGCAUGCUUGGCAGAAACAACCGGUACUGAUGCUCUUUCCUAUUGUCAUCGGCAAAUGCUUGCAACCUCCGAGGGAUGUCGCAUUCUUGCCGAAAAACCACGCAUAUCCUCUUCAACAGUUGAUUUUUCCGCGCUAAAACGAUUACCAGCAGGAACUCUUGGAAAAAUUUAUUACGAUUUUUUGGAAGUAAAUAACGUAUCUCCCGAUUCUAGAACUAUGGUCAAAUUCGUACAAGAUACUGAAUUGGCGUAUGUAAUGCAACGAUAUCGGGAAACACAUGAUAUUUAUCAUGCAAUACUUUUGAUGCCAACUACAAUGCUUGGGGAAGUAUCAGUUAAAUGGAUAGAAGCAUUGCAAUUACGUUUGCCAAUGUGUUUAAGCGGAGCGAUAUUUGGAGCAUUUCGAUUACGUCCAAAGCAAAGAAAAUUAUAUCUUGAUCAUUAUCUUCCAUGGGCUAUUAACACAGGAAUUAAAGCAAAAUUUCUUUUGGGUAUCUAUUUCGAGGAACGUUGGGAACAACCUCUUGUUGAUUUCCAUCGAGAAUUAAAUAUUGUUCCUUUAGUAUCGAUAGAAAAUAUUUAUAAUGAUAUGUAAAGUCUUUUUUCGGACGCUUUUUUCUCCGUUAUUAUAGUAACAAGAAUAGAAGUUAUUAGGUAGUAUAUAACAAUUUUUUUAUUCACCGUAACGUUGGAAAUAUGAAGAAUAUAAUUUUUAAUGGAAUAUGUAUGAUUUGUAUUACAAAUAUUUCGAUCGCUAUAAUCAGAAAUUUUAAAAAAUUUAUGUUCCUGUGUAUAUAUAUAGUGCAUAUACGCGCGAUACGAUGAAAAGUUGAUUCAUUUACAAGCAAUCAACAAUCUGAUUAGCAUCAUAUGGACAUAAUAUCCAUCCUAGUUUUCACAAAUGACCAAACGUCGGCACGGCAACUACGUUUACCCUGAGAAACAGAAAAAAAAAAAAUGGAUGCAAUAUAUAGAAAUUGAAAAGAGAAAUAUCUAUCUGAAGAAGAAAGGUACAUAUAUAUUAUAUUCAUAAUAUUAAAAAAGAAAUAGGAAGA
RNAcentral lists this unclassified non-coding RNA (1993 nucleotides) under Apis dorsata (giant honeybee). Its description in RNAcentral is "uDP-sugar transporter UST74c-like, transcript variant X3". The record is from RNAcentral. Lineage: Eukaryota; Metazoa; Arthropoda; Insecta; Hymenoptera; Apidae.